RNAcentral lists this transfer RNA (66 nucleotides) under Leichhardtia goromotoorum. Its description in RNAcentral is "Marsdenia goromotoorum partial tRNA-His". The record is from RNAcentral. Lineage: Eukaryota; Viridiplantae; Streptophyta; Magnoliopsida; Gentianales; Apocynaceae.
GAGAGCGAGGGGGCGGAUGUUUAGAAGAAAUAAAUAUAAAGAGUAUAAAGAGAGCGAGGGGGCGGA